RNAcentral lists this small RNA (246 nucleotides) under Enterococcus faecalis V583. RNAcentral describes it as "SsrS". The stretch from base 2 to 195 matches the Rfam family "6S / SsrS RNA". From Rfam's summary of the family: E. coli 6S RNA was the first non coding RNA to be sequenced, but its function was unknown until recently. The record is from RNAcentral. Lineage: Bacteria; Bacillati; Bacillota; Bacilli; Lactobacillales; Enterococcaceae.
GGUAAAUCUGUGAUGUACGCGUUGUCCUUUCACUGUGUUGACCGAACAUUUUUAUUGAUAUCUAGGGAUCCUGCUUGUAUCAAAGUUGGUAACAUGCCUUUUCUUUUGGUAGUUCAAUACUGCGAUCGAGGAACCCACCUGCUUAUCUUGCGGGUUCAAUACUCUAGGACGAUUACCGGCAUCGACGGAUUUUACCAUUUUUAUGAAGAUUUCUAAACAAUUUGCUCUGGCAAGUUGUUUUUUUUU